AGUCUCGCUCUGUCAGUCAGGC
RNAcentral lists this microRNA (22 nucleotides) under Macaca mulatta (Rhesus monkey). RNAcentral describes it as "mml-miR-7174-3p". The record is from miRBase by way of RNAcentral. Lineage: Eukaryota; Metazoa; Chordata; Mammalia; Primates; Cercopithecidae.